AGUGAACGCCGGCGGUAGGCCUAACACAUGCAAGUCGAACGGCAGCACAGUAAGAGCUUGCUCUUACGGGUGGCGAGUGGCGGACGGGUGAGGAAUACAUCGGAAUCUACUUUUUCGUGGGGGAUAACGUAGGGAAACUUACGCUAAUACCGCAUACGACCUACGGGUGAAGGCAGGGGAUCUUCGGACCUUGCGCGAUUGAAUGAGCCGAUGUCGGAUUAGCUAGUUGGCGGGGUAAAGGCCCACCAAGGCGACGAUCCGUAGCUGGUCUGAGAGGAUGAUCAGCCACACUGGAACUGAGACACGGUCCAGACUCCUACGGGAGGCAGCAGUGGGGAAUAUUGGACAAUGGGCGCAAGCCUGAUCCAGCCAUACCGCGUGGGUGAAGAAGGCCUUCGGGUUGUAAAGCCCUUUUGUUGGGAAAGAAAAGCAGCAGGUUAAUACCCCGCUGUUCUGACGGUACCCAAAGAAUAAGCACCGGCUAACUUCGUG
This 492-nucleotide ribosomal RNA is filed under the name uncultured bacterium. Its description in RNAcentral is "partial 16S ribosomal RNA". It matches the Rfam family "Bacterial small subunit ribosomal RNA", at positions 29 to 507 of the family's 1533-position model. The record is from RNAcentral.